Molecule: long non-coding RNA, 1828 nt
Filed under: Gallus gallus (chicken)
Lineage: Eukaryota; Metazoa; Chordata; Aves; Galliformes; Phasianidae
Source: RNAcentral
CUUUCCAAAAGGCUUGAACUCUGCAGAUAGAAGUAUGGGGCUCCUCUGCAGACUGCAAGCUGAAGUAGAGAGAUAUAACUUUUAACAAGAACAUGCAGCCCAUAGAUCUUGGUGGGACGAAUUAAGACUGAUGCAUUACAGGACAUUUAGGGCUGUGCAGUUUGCAGCACAGGUACACUUGCCCUACACACUGUAGGCUGUGAUGAGAAUUGCCCAGUCCAGUCCUUUAAACCAGUCUGCAACUUAUAUUUUGGGACUAAUAAUGUUCCUCUUCCUUUACAGAGUGACUUGAGAUUGUCAAGCGACAGUGACAAUGCUCAUUAAUCAGUUGUUGUUUGAGAAAAACAGAAAAUUUGGAAACUAUUUUAGGAGGUGAAGUCACAUUUAUUGUUCAGCUAUGAGAGAGGGAUGUAUUGCUACCUGAAUUAAAAAUAAUGAAGAUGUAGAACAAGAUAUGGAAAAAAUCUCUAUCCAUACGAAGAUGCAUUUUUAAAGAAGUUAGUUAUUCUGGUCUGCAUUUUCAACAAGGACAACACGAGAGACCUGCACAUUAAUGACAUUCCCACACACCACAUAGCCGCUACAAGAACAUGAUGGAUCUGGAUCAUCACUUUCUAGUGUUGAGAGUGUCAGAAGGCUGUUACAGUUUAAAACACAGAAUGGAACACUGAUGUUCUGAUCUCCUUAUCAAGCAAGUAUGGACCCUCAAAAAUAAUGUUUACACAUUUCCUAUAAACAUUUCUAUUGCUAAACAAAUCAGCCUAUAUCAAGAGGAUGAACCAAUGGACAAUGGACAAGGACACACCUUGGACAAGACUCUGAAGAAUUCAAUUCUUCAUUACAACAUAAACAAUGAAAACUGAACAAAUUCCUACAUAGAGGAGAUGUGGGAUCCUGUUGCUGAUUUGGGUCUGCCAUUUUUAGCUGGCUGAUGCUUUAUGCUCUUAAACAAUUGCAUAUUUACCAUUCAUGCAGAAAAUUUCUUACACAUAUGACUGGGUACAAAUUUAAUUUCUUGUGAUAAUGACCACCUUUUGCUGCAAGAGGCAUUUAACAUGGUCAGAAUGCUACAAAUGCUGUUUUCCAGAAAGGAAUGUACAGCUUUAAUGAGUGUGUCGGUGCGCAAACUCUGUUUUCAAAGCUUUUUGGUCUGAAUACAGGAAACAGUUAAAGGCAGAUUCUGGCUUGCUGGCUAUGCUUCCCACUCCACAAUGAAGACUUUCACUGAGUUUAGCUGAAGCUAUAUCUACUACACACUGACACACAUUUACUCUUAUAGCAAUCUCUGUAACUUCAGUGAAAAUGUUCAAGAAAUAAAAUUCUUCUCAACUGGAGUUGGGUUUGAAAAAUCUGCACUAUCACAGGUACCUCUCAGGCUGUUUUUGUAAGUUCUUUUAACAUUUUAUGUCAGAAACCAUUUGGUUUCUUAAAUGCUCAAUAAAUACUUAUUUGUGUAUUUACAGUAAUACCUAAAUUCACUUCCUGUUGAUCAUCUUACUAUUUAAAGAAAACACUAGUAAGAUUAUUACUUUUCUUGGUGUACGAUUUAAUUCUCAAAAAAUUCUUGCAUUGAUCACUGAACAAUGUUGGUUUGAAAACUGAUAAUUUUUUAAUUCUUCGGGGAAGGCAAUGGAAUAAAGUCAUGUAGAGAGAUUCCAUGGAUGUCUUCUACAGUUUUGUUUUGUUAGCUUUUCUUUAUCCUCUAGCAAUUUAUUUGUGAUUCAUUCAUUCACAGACCAAGUUUCUUCUGUGAUAAACUUACGCAGCUCAGUCACAUUACAUGGAAUUAGCUCAGUUCACCCCAACAUUAAUAAUAUAUAUUUCCCAG